UGGGGAAUCUUGGACAAUGGGCGCAAGCCUGAUCCAGCCAUGCCGCGUGAGUGAAGAAGGCCUUCGGGUUGUAAAGCUCUUUUACCAGGGACGAUAAUGACGGUACCUGGAGAAUAAGCCCCGGCAAACUUCGUGCCAGCAGCCGCGGUAAUACGAAGGGGGCUAGCGUUGUUCGGAAUUACUGGGCGUAAAGCGCACGUAGGCGGAUUGUUAAGUCAGAGGUGAAAUCCCGGAGCUCAACUUCGGAACUGCCUUUGAUACUGGCAAUCUAGAGUCCGGAAGAGGUUAGUGGAAUUCCCAGUGUAGAGGUGAAAUUCGUAGAUAUUAGGAAGAACACCAGUGGCGAAGGCGGCCAACUGGCUCGAUACUGACGCUGAGGUGCGAAAGCGUGGUGAGCAAACAGGAUUAGAUACCCACGUAGUCCCUGAGCGGGCUGGCAAGGCGCAU
RNAcentral lists this ribosomal RNA (447 nucleotides) under uncultured bacterium. RNAcentral's name for it is "bacterial SSU rRNA". It matches the Rfam family "Bacterial small subunit ribosomal RNA", at positions 355 to 825 of the family's 1533-position model. The record is from RNAcentral.